GAGGUCGCCAAUGCGAUUAUCGUAACGUAAUGAUUUCCUUGCGACGGCAAAAAUAUCGGAUUUUACCCAAGUUCAAUUGCUUUGAAAAAGGUGAAAAAUAUAUUGUAUGAGCAAACAAUUGAUAUGUAAUUAAAGUUCAGACAUUUAUCUUUCUAAAUAUAUAAGUUUUAUGGGUAUUGCAGUGAUUUGGUUCGAUAAAAAAAAUGUUUGAAGUGGAGUUGUUUUGAAAAAAAUGGCCGCCGGAAAAACUAUGUGUCAAAGGUACUACUGAUUUUGAAAUUCAUUCCGCAAGCUUUUACUCGUCAGAUUUUCUUCCUUGAUGGCUUAAAAUUUUGGAAAUAUAUUCAAGUUUUAUGAUCCGGUUGUCAGUCAUACUUAACGGUCGAUUUUCAGUAUAGAUAUGAAAAAUCUUUGAAAUAGAUGUGAAAAAAAAAUCGUUUACGACUUUGUAAACACCACUGACACUCGGAUUCAUAAAUUCCAGAACUCUCUUCUUCCACACGUAUCCAUGGUUUCACAUGAAAAACAAUAGCGGCUUGCGGAAUUGAUUGGAUAUUUGUAUGAGCAAGGCGUGGUUUUCACGCAAAAAAUCUGCGAAAAGAGUUAUCUGUUCUUGACUUCCGGAAGUGACGUAUCCGCCAUUGUGUCUAACAUGAAACAUGAAACUUGUAACAAAAUGACUUUUACCGACUAUUUUUUGGACGGACUGCUUACUGAGAGGACAGACAACGUUGGAAAUAGGCCACGGAGGCCAAUCACGUAAGGAAUGAUACUGUCUGUCCAUCCAUCUGCCUGAAAGGAUCUUCUCCCAGUUAGACAGUCUCAUCAGAGUCAUGUGGAGAGUCACUAUACCAACGCCCUGGAGGGAAAUACCAAUAUUGGACUCAAAACCCAUACAGUGAAUUGGUUAGAAAGAAUGGAUGAAGCACAUCCUGAACAUAUAUGGUAAAUUCUGGUGAAGAAACAGCUCGGACCUGAAAAUAUAUACUUUAGAACAUUCAAUAAACUUAGUCAAAUGAUGAAUAGUUAAUGUAUCAUUAUUAUAAUGAAUACCAAAACAGUUCAGAUAGUCACUAUUGCAAAUCCCAAUGGAUUAUUAGACUUAAAGACUGCAUUGAUCUUGGUCUUUAUAUAUAAUAAGUUCUCGACAUAUCCAUUUUUUAUAGGAAUAACAGGUUUUUCGCAAAAUAUUUACCAAUUUUUUUGAAUAAUGAGAAUAUUUUAGUGUAAAUAAUACAUUUUCCAAG
This is a long non-coding RNA of Mytilus californianus (California mussel), 1247 nucleotides long. RefSeq lists it as uncharacterized. The transcript is spliced from 3 exons. The record is from RefSeq and is a predicted model, not a curated record. Lineage: Eukaryota; Metazoa; Mollusca; Bivalvia; Mytilida; Mytilidae.